CGAACGCUGGCGGCAGGCUAACACAUGCAAGUCGAACGGGCUUCUUCGGAAGUCAGUGGCAGACGGGUGAGUAACACGUGGGAACGUGCCCUUCGGUUCGGAAUAACUCAGGGAAACUUGAGCUAAUACCGGAUACGCCCUUAUGGGGAAAGGUUUACUGCCGAGGGAUCGGCCCGCGUCUGAUUAGCUUGUUGGUGGGGUAACGGCCUACCAAGGCGACGAUCAGUAGCUGGUCUGAGAGGAUGAUCAGCCACACUGGGACUGAGACACGGCCCAGACUCCUACGGGAGGCAGCAGUGGGGAAUAUUGGACAAUGGGCGCAAGCCUGAUCCAGCCAUGCCGCGUGAGUGAUGAAGGCCUUAGGGUUGUAAAGCUCUUUUGUCCGGGACGAUAAUGACGGUACCGGAAGAAUAAGCCCCGGCUAACUUCGUGCCAGCAGCCGCGGUAAUACGAAGGGGGCUAGCGUUGCUCGGAAUCACUGGGCGUAAAGGGCGCGUAGGCGGCCGAUUAAGUCGGGGGUGAAAGCCUGUGGCUCAACCACAGAAUUGCCUUCGAUACUGGUUGGCUUGAGACCGGAAGAGGACAGCGGAACUGCGAGUGUAGAGGUGAAAUUCGUAGAUAUUCGCAAGAACACCAGUGGCGAAGGCGGCUGUCUGGUCCGGUUCUG
Molecule: ribosomal RNA, 667 nt
Filed under: uncultured Alphaproteobacteria bacterium
Lineage: Bacteria; Pseudomonadati; Pseudomonadota; Alphaproteobacteria
Description: bacterial SSU rRNA
Rfam family: Bacterial small subunit ribosomal RNA
Source: RNAcentral